This 341-nucleotide unclassified non-coding RNA is filed under the name soil metagenome. RNAcentral describes it as "partial contains 5.8S ribosomal RNA, internal transcribed spacer 2, and large subunit ribosomal RNA". The stretch from base 1 to 120 matches the Rfam family "5.8S ribosomal RNA", at positions 35 to 154 of the family's 154-position model. The record is from RNAcentral.
GAUGAAGAACGCAGCGAAAUGCGAUACGUAGUGUGAAUUGCAGAAUCCAGUGAAUCAUCGAAUCUUUGAACGCACAUUGCGCCCUUUGGUAUUCCAAAGGGCAUGCCUGUUCGAGCGUCAUUUGUACCCUCAAGCUUUGCUUGGUGUUGGGCGUCUUGUCUCUAGCUUUGCUGGAGACUCGCCUUAAAGUAAUUGGCAGCCGGCCUACUGGUUUCGGAGCGCAGCACAAGUCGCACUCUCUAUCAGCAAAGGUCUAGCAUCCAUUAAGCCUUUUUUUCAACUUUUGACCUCGGAUCAGGUAGGGAUACCCGCUGAACUUAAGCAUAUCAAUAAGCGGAGGA